RNAcentral lists this transfer RNA (84 nucleotides) under Candidatus Alectryocaccomicrobium excrementavium. RNAcentral describes it as "tRNA-Leu". It matches the Rfam family "tRNA". Rfam says of the family: Transfer RNA (tRNA) molecules are approximately 80 nucleotides in length. Their secondary structure includes four short double-helical elements and three loops (D, anti-codon, and T loops). The record is from RNAcentral. Lineage: Bacteria; Bacillati; Bacillota; Clostridia.
GCGGGCGUGGCGGAAUGGCAGACGCGCCAGAUUUAGGAUCUGGUGCCGCGAGGCGUAUGAGUUCGAGUCUCUUCGCCCGCACCA